This 537-nucleotide ribosomal RNA is filed under the name uncultured bacterium. RNAcentral's name for it is "partial 16S ribosomal RNA". It matches the Rfam family "Bacterial small subunit ribosomal RNA", at positions 355 to 907 of the family's 1533-position model. The record is from RNAcentral.
UGGGGAAUAUUGCACAAUGGGCGAAAGCCUGAUGCAGCAACGCCGCGUGAGUGAUGAAGGCCUUCGGGUUGUAAAGCUCUGUCUUUUGGGACGAUAAUGACGGUACCAAAGGAGGAAGCCACGGCUAACUACGUGCCAGCAGCCGCGGUAAUACGUAGGUGGCAAGCGUUGUCCGGAUUUACUGGGCGUAAAGGAUGCGUAGGCGGAUUUUUAAGUGAGAUGUGAAAUACCCGGGCUUAACUUGGGUGCUGCAUUUCAAACUGGGAAUCUAGAGUGCGGGAGAGGAGAAUGGAAUUCCUAGUGUAGCGGUGAAAUGCGUAGAGAUUAGGAAGAACACCAGUGGCGAAGGCGAUUCUCUGGACCGUAACUGACGCUGGGGCAUGAAAGCGUGGGUAGCAAACAGGAUUAGAUACCCUGGUAGUCCACGCCGUAAACGAUGAGUACUAGGUGUAGGAGGUAUCGACCCCUUCUGUGCCGCAGUUAACACAAUAAGUACUCCGCCUGGGAAGUACGAUCGCAAGAUUAAAAACUUAAAUG